Long non-coding RNA from Trachemys scripta elegans, 1346 nucleotides. RefSeq lists it as uncharacterized. NCBI's taxonomy places the organism in Eukaryota, Metazoa, Chordata, Testudines, Emydidae. The transcript is spliced from 2 exons. The record is from RefSeq and is a predicted model, not a curated record.
AUUUGACCCCCUUUAUACAAGAUUUGGGUGCCACUACCGGACCUUGGUUGCAACAAUGAUCUAUAUGGUCCCAGAUUAUAUCAAUAACUUCACACCCCCAAUGCAAAAUUGAGGCAGGAAGGGAUGACACAAACAUCACUGAUUGCAUCCCAAGAGCUCCCCAUCCUUGGGUCUGUCUCACUACAGCUAGUAUUGGGUUAGAAGCCAUACCAGUGUAUAACAGAAAUGGUUUAUCAAAAACUUAUGUUUAAUAACAUGAUUGAAUGUCUUUACAAACUCAAGGGAAAACUUGGUUAGAACAAUAGUGGAUUGGAUCUGCUCUUGCAGCAUGGUACCUGUUUAUGUCUUGUGUGAACUUGCCAAGAGCUAAAGAAAACAGCUACUUUGUCCAUACAAGCUCUGGCAAAUGUUUGGAACCCAGUCAACAUCAAGUCAAUGUAGACGUCAAGGUUGCUCAUAGUACAGGAAUCUUGGCAUUUAGCCAUGAAAGCAAUAUGGUAGUGUGCCUCAGUUUCCCUUUUCAUACAGCACAUUAGGUCUGGAAUGUCUUUUCCCCGUGAAAAGUUCCAAUACUGUUUACAGGCAUUAACUGUGAAACAUCAGUAUAACAAGGCCUUUUAACAUAAAGUCUGUUCUCAUGUAUCCCUUUUAACAUGUUCAAGGGAUCUUCCAAAAGAUUAGGCACAUUGUACAUUUGUACAGUUUGUAGUAAUAGCAACACAUUCGUUACAAAAAUUACCAUUAGCAAUAACAACAAAUUCAUUGCAAGUGUCCAUCUACAGUCAUGUUUGCCUUGCCACACCUUUGGCUCAAUACCAUUGGAGUUUGGGCAUUUUAGGGCUAACCUGUGGCUUCCCUUUGCAAAAUUCAGUUUUCCCUUUUCUCCUUGUUCUGCAGGAUCAAACCCUGAUUUCUCUUGCUUAACAGAUGGUUGUUAAUAAACCAUAAACCCAGUAUCUUUAUUCAGUCCAGGAUUUUUAGUGUCUAGCAAAGUUAUGAAUUUAAACUCCCAAGCCCAUCUUUUUGAAAAUGUUGUGCAGGUUUCCUUUGAGGACAAGGGCUGACGGAUCACAUACAAGAGUGAAGUGUGAAGGGAGCCAACUAACGUGUUGGACUACGGUGGCAUGCAGGCUUGGAGUCUGGCGAGACGGAGAAUACAACGCUGCCCUCAGCGGUUUCUUCCAACGGGGCACCAAUGAACAUGCCAAAGCUAUCAACUCUGUCAGGUGGGAUCCCUGCAGAUUUAGGUGCUUGUCUACAUGGGAAUGGUUCCUGCCAUGGCUAUAGUGGAAUAGCUUUGGAAGCAGAGCAGUAAUUUUGGGGAAUAAAGUUGCUUUUAUUUGGAA